UAGAGUUUGAUCCUGGCUCAGAUUGAACGCUGGCGGCAUGCCUUACACAUGCAAGUCGAACGGCAGCACGGGAGCAAUCCUGGUGGCGAGUGGCGAACGGGUGAGUAAUACAUCGGAACGUGCCCUGUCGUGGGGGAUAACUAGUCGAAAGAUUAGCUAAUACCGCAUACGACCUGAGGGUGAAAGCGGGGGACCGCAAGGCCUCGCGCGAUAGGAGCGGCCGAUGUCUGAUUAGCUAGUUGGUGAGGUAAGAGCUCACCAAGGCGACGAUCAGUAGCUGGUCUGAGAGGACGAUCAGCCACACUGGGACUGAGACACGGCCCAGACUCCUACGGGAGGCAGCAGUGGGGAAUUUUGGACAAUGGGGGCAACCCUGAUCCAGCAAUGCCGCGUGUGUGAAGAAGGCCUUCGGGUUGUAAAGCACUUUUGUCCGGAAAGAAAUCCCCUGGGAUAAUACNCGGGGGGAUGACGGUACCGGAAGAAUAAGCACCGGCUAACUAC
RNAcentral lists this ribosomal RNA (501 nucleotides) under bacterium PT11. Its description in RNAcentral is "bacterial SSU rRNA". It matches the Rfam family "Bacterial small subunit ribosomal RNA", at positions 1 to 504 of the family's 1533-position model. The record is from RNAcentral.